RNAcentral lists this ribosomal RNA (420 nucleotides) under uncultured bacterium. RNAcentral's name for it is "bacterial SSU rRNA". It matches the Rfam family "Bacterial small subunit ribosomal RNA", at positions 381 to 791 of the family's 1533-position model. The record is from RNAcentral.
AGCUGACGGAGCACGCCGCGUGAGUGAAGAAGGUUUCGGAUCGUAAAACUCUGGUUGGGUUAGGGAAGAACAAGUGCCGUUCGAAUAGGGCGGCGCCUUGACGGUACCUAACCAGAAAGCCACGGCUAACUACGUGCCAGCAGCCGCGGUAAUACGUAGGUGGCAAGCGUUGUCCGGAAUUAUUGGGCGUAAAGCGCGCGCAGGUGGUUUCUUAAGUCUGAUGUGAAAGCCCACGGCUCAACCGUGGAGGGUCAUUGGAAACUGGGGAACUUGAGUGCAGAAGAGGAAAGUGGAAUUCCAAGUGUAGCGGUGAAAUGCGUAGAUAUUUGGAGGAACACCAGUGGCGAAGGCGACUUUCUGGUCUGUAACUGACACUGAGGCGCGAAAGCGUGGGGAGCAAACAGGAUUAGAUACCCUGGU